RNAcentral lists this transfer RNA (74 nucleotides) under Loxodonta africana (African savanna elephant). RNAcentral's name for it is "tRNA-Asn (GTT) (tRNA-Asn-GTT-24-1)". It matches the Rfam family "tRNA". From Rfam's summary of the family: Transfer RNA (tRNA) molecules are approximately 80 nucleotides in length. Their secondary structure includes four short double-helical elements and three loops (D, anti-codon, and T loops). Further hydrogen bonds mediate the characteristic L-shaped molecular structure. tRNAs have two regions of fundamental functional importance: the anti-codon, which is responsible for specific mRNA codon recognition, and the 3' end, to which the tRNAs corresponding amino acid is attached (by aminoacyl-tRNA synthetases). tRNAs cope with the degeneracy of the genetic code in two manners: having more than one tRNA (with a specific anti-codon) for a particular amino acid; and 'wobble' base-pairing, i.e. permitting non-standard base-pairing at the 3rd anti-codon position. Lineage: Eukaryota; Metazoa; Chordata; Mammalia; Proboscidea; Elephantidae. The record is from Rfam by way of RNAcentral.
GUGUCUGUGGUGCAAUUGGUCAGCGCGUUCAGCUGUUAACCGAAAAAUUGGUGGUUCGAGCCCACCCAGGGACG